This 414-nucleotide ribosomal RNA is filed under the name uncultured microorganism. RNAcentral's name for it is "bacterial SSU rRNA". It matches the Rfam family "Archaeal small subunit ribosomal RNA", at positions 459 to 872 of the family's 1478-position model. The record is from RNAcentral.
CAGCCGCCGCGGUAAUACCGGCGGCCCGAGUGGCGGCCACUCUUAUUGGGCUUAAAGCGUCCGUAGCCGGGUUGGUUAGUCUCCCGGGAAAUCUGGCCGCUUAACGGUCAGAAUUCCGGGAGAUACUGCCAGCCUAGGGACCGGGAGAGGCCGAGGGUAUUCCCGGAGUAGGGGUGAAAUCCUAUAAUCCCGGGACGACCACCUGUGGCGAAGGCGCUCGGCUGGAACGGGUCCGACGGUGAGGGACGAAGGCCAGGGGAGCAAACCGGAUUAGAUACCCGGGUAGUCCUGGCUGUAAACGAUGCGGACUUUGUGUCGGACAAGCUAUGAGCUUGUCCGGUGCCGGAGGGAAACCGUUAAGUCCGCCGCCUGGGGAGUACGGCCGCAAGGCUGAAACUUAAAGGAAUUGGCGGG